UGGGUGAAAGAAAACCAGCAAGUGGGUCCAAAGGAAUUGCAGAAGAACAUCAAAGAUAAGUUCAAGAUAGAUUUACCAUACAUGAGGUUGUUCAAUGGUAAACAACAUGCUAUGGAUUCUAUUUAUGGUAACUGGCAGGAAAGUUUUCAAUUGUUGUAUUCAUUCAAAGGUGAAGUGGAGAGGACAAGCCCAGGUAGUAUUGUAGAUAUUGAUCACCACACCGUGGAGUACACAUUCAGGGGAGUGACAAAGACCAAGGAAUGUUUUAGAAGGGUUUUUGUCUGCUUUGAGGCUUGUCGCCGGGGUUUUUUGGCAGGCUGCAGGCCUUAUUUGGCUAUUGAUGCUACUUUUCUCACAGGAAGGUUUAAAGGACAGUUAGUAGCAGCUUGUGCAGUUGAUGCACAUAGUUUUGUAUUUCCAGUUGCCUAUGGUGUGCUAGAGACAGAGUCUGAGGAGAGCUGGACUUGGUUUUUGCAUAAUCUCCGCCGGGCUAUUGCACAUCCCAAUGGGUUGGUCAUUCAUACAGAUGCCUGCAAAGGUUUAGAAGUGGCCGUGGACAAUGUGUUCCCUGGAGUAGAGCAUAGGGAAUGCAUGCGUCACCUUGCUGCAAAUUUCAUGAAGAAAUUCAAAGGAAAGGUGUAUACCGACAAUUUAUGGCCAGCAUCUUUGACAUGCAGUGUGAAGAAGCACAACUACCACUUGAGGCAGUUAUACAUGAAUCCCAAAGUGAAAGAAUACUUGGAAACACACCACUCCAAGUUAUGGGCUAGAAGCCAAUUCGGUGAAGUGAGCAAAGUUGACUAUGUGCACAAUAAUCUAGCAGAGUCUUUCAACUCAACGAUCCGGAAA
Molecule: ribosomal RNA, 849 nt
Filed under: Triticum aestivum (bread wheat)
Lineage: Eukaryota; Viridiplantae; Streptophyta; Magnoliopsida; Poales; Poaceae
Description: partial small subunit ribosomal RNA
Source: RNAcentral